UUACCUACCUGGCAAGGGAGGUACCAUGAUCAAGAAGGUGGUUUACCCAGGGCGAGGCUCAACCAUUGCACUCCGAUUAUGUUGACCCCUGCGAAUUCCCCACAUGUGGGAAUCUCAACUGCAUAAUUUGUGGUAGUGGGGGACUACGUUUGCACUCUCCCCUG
Molecule: small nuclear RNA, 164 nt
Organism: Etheostoma spectabile (orangethroat darter)
Lineage: Eukaryota; Metazoa; Chordata; Actinopteri; Perciformes; Percidae
Product: U1 spliceosomal RNA
Exons: 1
Source: RefSeq, a predicted model, not a curated record